CCUACGGGAGGCACCAGUGGGGAAUAUUGCACAAUGGGCGCAAGCCUGAUGCAGCCAUGCCGCGUGUAUGAAGAAGGCCCUAGGGUUGUAAAGUACUUUCAGUCGGGAGGAAGGCGUUGAUGCUAAUAUCAUCAACGAUUGACGUUACCGACAGAAGAAGCACCGGCUAACUCCGUGCCAGCAGCCGCGGUAAUACAGAGGGUGCAAGCGUUAAUCGGAAUUACUGGGCGUAAAGCGCACGCAGGCGGUUGAUUAAGUUAGAUGUGAAAUCCCCGGGCUUAACCUGGGAACGGCACCUAAGACUGGUCAGCUAGAGUCUUGUAGAGGGGGGUGGAACUCCAUGUGUAGCGGUGAAAUGCGUAGAGAUGUGGAGGAAUACCGGUGGCGAAGGCGGCCCCCUGGACAAAGACUGACGCUCAGGUGCGAAAGCGUGGGGAGCAAACAGGAUUAGAUACCCUUGUAGUC
RNAcentral lists this ribosomal RNA (465 nucleotides) under uncultured bacterium. RNAcentral describes it as "bacterial SSU rRNA". It matches the Rfam family "Bacterial small subunit ribosomal RNA", at positions 338 to 795 of the family's 1533-position model. The record is from RNAcentral.